GAUGAACGCUGGCGGCGUGCCUAAUACAUGCAAGUCGAGCGAACGGACGAGAAGCUUGCUUCUCUGAUGUUAGCGGCGGACGGGUGAGUAACACGUGGAUAACCUACCUAUAAGACUGGGAUAACUUCGGGAAACCGGAGCUAAUACCGGAUAAUAUUUUGAACCGCAUGGUUCAAAAGUGAAAGACGGUCUUGCUGUCACUUAUAGAUGGAUCCGCGCUGCAUUAGCUAGUUGGUAAGGUAACGGCUUACCAAGGCAACGAUGCAUAGCCGACCUGAGAGAGUGAUCGGCCACACUGGAACUGAGACACGGUCCAGACUCCUACGGGAGGCAGCAGUAGGGAAUCUUCCGCAAUGGGCGAAAGCCUGACGGAGCAACGCCGCGUGAGUGAUGAAGGUCUUCGGAUCGUAAAACUCUGUUAUUAGGGAAGAACAUAUGUGUAAGUAACUGUGCACAUCUCGACGGUACCUAAUCAGAAAGCCACGGCUAACUACGUGCCAGCAGCCGCGGUAAUACGUAGGUGGCAAGCGUUAUCCGGAAUUAUUGGGCGUAAAGCGCGCGUAGGCGGUUUUUUAAGUCUGAUGUGAAAGCCCACGGCUCAACCGUGGAGGGUCAUUGGAAACUGGAAAACUUGAGUGCAGAAGAGGAAAGUGGAAUUCCAUGUGUAGCGGUGAAAUGCGCAGAGAUAUGGAGGAACACCAGUGGCGAAGGCGACUUUCUGGUCUGUAACUGACGCUGAUGUGCGAAAGCGUGGGGAUCAAACAGGAUUAGAUACCCUGGUAGUCCACGCCGUAAACGAUGAGUGCUAAGUGUUAGGGGGUUUCCGCCCCUUAGUGCUGCAGCUAACGCAUUAAGCACUCCGCCUGGGGAGUACGACCGCAAGGUUGAAACUCAAAGGAAUUGACGGGGACCCGCACAAGCGGUGGAGCAUGUGGUUUAAUUCGAAGCAACGCGAAGAACCUUACCAAAUCUUGACAUCCUUUGACAACUCUAGAGAUAGAGCCUUCCCCUUCGGGGGACAAAGUGACAGGUGGUGCAUGGUUGUCGUCAGCUCGUGUCGUGAGAUGUUGGGUUAAGUCCCGCAACGAGCGCAACCCUUAAGCUUAGUUGCCAUCAUUAAGUUGGGCACUCUAAGUUGACUGCCGGUGACAAACCGGAGGAAGGUGGGGAUGACGUCAAAUCAUCAUGCCCCUUAUGAUUUGGGCUACACACGUGCUACAAUGGACAAUACAAAGGGCAGCGAAACCGCGAGGUCAAGCAAAUCCCAUAAAGUUGUUCUCAGUUCGGAUUGUAGUCUGCAACUCGACUACAUGAAGCUGGAAUCGCUAGUAAUCGUAGAUCAGCAUGCUACGGUGAAUACGUUCCCGGGUCU
This 1372-nucleotide ribosomal RNA is filed under the name uncultured bacterium. RNAcentral's name for it is "bacterial SSU rRNA". It matches the Rfam family "Bacterial small subunit ribosomal RNA", at positions 28 to 1381 of the family's 1533-position model. The record is from RNAcentral.